Molecule: transfer RNA, 74 nt
Filed under: Rhizobium sp. BK376
Lineage: Bacteria; Pseudomonadati; Pseudomonadota; Alphaproteobacteria; Hyphomicrobiales; Rhizobiaceae
Rfam family: tRNA
About the family: Transfer RNA (tRNA) molecules are approximately 80 nucleotides in length.
Source: Rfam by way of RNAcentral
GUCCUCGUAGCUCAAAUGGUAGAGCACCUGAGUUGUAUUCAGGAAGACCUAGGUUCAAUUCCUCAGCGAGGGCU